This 253-nucleotide ribosomal RNA is filed under the name uncultured bacterium. RNAcentral's name for it is "partial 16S ribosomal RNA". It matches the Rfam family "Bacterial small subunit ribosomal RNA", at positions 524 to 776 of the family's 1533-position model. The record is from RNAcentral.
UACGUAGGGUGCAAGCGUUAAUCGGAAUUACUGGGCGUAAAGCGUGCGCAGGCGGCUUUGCAAGACAGAUGUGAAAUCCCCGGGCUUAACCUGGGAACUGCAUUUGUGACUGCAAGGCUAGAGUACGGUAGAGGGGGAUGGAAUUCCGCGUGUAGCAGUGAAAUGCGUAGAUAUGCGGAGGAACACCGAUGGCGAAGGCAAUCCCCUGGACCUGUACUGACGCUCAUGCACGAAAGCGUGGGUAGCAAACAGG